This 418-nucleotide long non-coding RNA is filed under the name Gallus gallus (chicken). The record is from RNAcentral. Lineage: Eukaryota; Metazoa; Chordata; Aves; Galliformes; Phasianidae.
AGCCAGUCAGGUGGGAAUUUGGAGCAGUGAAAUAUGAAGAGUACGUUUCUGCAUUGAAAUUACUGUUUGUGAGGGUGGGUCCUACAGUCAGCCAUCCUGGUCGAAUUGUACUGUCCCUUCCAAAAAGAUGAAGACGCCGUCGUCCAAGGCAGAAAUGCUCAAUGAUAUGGAAAAUCUCUACAGGUUUUUCAAUAUUGCCAAUUUCAGGCUCUUCUGUGAUAAUGAGGUCAAUGUCAACAUUAGCAUGGAUGAAGUCACCAUCUGUACUGCGACGCACGGUUCCUUUAAUGCCCAUGAGGCAGUGCUCCUUGGUUCUUUGGAAAACAGCCUUGGGGUCCAGAGUCUUGGUUUUUCCAGGAUUAUUCUUAUUCGUUUUAAUCCAACAAAUAUCUUCACACCUUCUGUAACCCCAUUUGCG